This is a long non-coding RNA of Xenopus laevis (African clawed frog), 759 nucleotides long. RefSeq lists it as uncharacterized. The record is from RefSeq and is a predicted model, not a curated record. The transcript has 2 exons. NCBI's taxonomy places the organism in Eukaryota, Metazoa, Chordata, Amphibia, Anura, Pipidae.
UCCCCGUGACUGAACUGUAGUGUAGUGCAGGGAGGGAGGGGGGCGGUAAACAACUGAAAGCAUGGCUCCAUUCCCCUUCUACACUGCUGCCUAACAUGGGCUGGAUUUCGUGCAUCUGAUGAUCUAUGACUUCUAUUGUAAGCUGUUUCCACAAGACUAAAGGACAAGGGCUUGUUUUUCCGAGUUGAUAAGACAAAAUCAUUGGAAGCGUCUAAGUUCAAAAUGUUACUGAACCAACGGAUGACCCUAAGUAAUUCAGUACCUCAAGCAACAGCAGAGAGAAAUCCAUGACAGCAGUGUCAGAAAAGCUGUCAAUUGUCAAUUCCCAGUCUUCCGACCUUUGUAACGAGCAAAGGAGCAGAACUGCAGUAGGCCGAAGGCUAUGUGUUUGGAGCCAAACAGUGCCAGUGUUACCUCAUUAGAUGUGUCUUCGAGCCUGCUCUGGUAAUCUGUCAAAAUACAUCUCAAACUCUCAAGGACAGCAGCAAAGCCUGCAGGUUUGUGGUUCUGUUUUUCAGAUCCCUAUAGAGAACAAAAUCUAAAAUGAUACAUAAAGAAGACACAAGUAAAAUGCAGAGAAAGAAAAGCCAUGCCACAAAGGGAUUAGACAAUGUAUAUGACAAAAUCAAACUAUGAUCCGCAGCAAUCUCUAAUGUUGUUUCACAAUAUGGUGUUGGAAAACACUGAAAGUGGAUUCAUAAUGUCAGAUUUUGUUUGACUGUUGACAAAAGGAAAAUACUAAAAUAAUGCUGGAAUGUG